Molecule: long non-coding RNA, 476 nt
Filed under: Ananas comosus (pineapple)
Lineage: Eukaryota; Viridiplantae; Streptophyta; Magnoliopsida; Poales; Bromeliaceae
Description: long non-coding RNA (ACOM_LNC015179)
Source: RNAcentral
UGACAUGCAUAGGAGAGAAUGGGGCUUUUGUAUGAAUUUGUAUCGUUUAAGAUUAUAUUAGGAUUAGGAUAGGUGGAUGCAUUAAUUAAACGCUAUAUGUAAAGGGAAGAUGAAGGGUUGUAUUUUUUGUGUAGGUUUCUAAGUUUACGGAACUCAUCUUCUUUCUUUUUUGAUUACCUUCCGACGUUACAAAAAAGAAAUUAUGAGAUGGAAAGCCGAAGAGACAUACGAUAUGGAAAAGAAAUUAAUAAGACAGAAAUUAAUAAGACGGGAAGCCGAAGAGGUAGACGUUAUAGGGAAGGAAUUAAUGAAACGGAAAGCCGAAGAGACAGACGUUCAUAAGGUGAAAGCAAACAGUGAACGAAACUAUAGGGAAGGAAUUAAUAAAACGGAAAGCCGAAGAGACAGACGUUCAUAAGGUGAAAGCAAACAGUGAACGAAACACUGCCACGUGGCAUUUUUUAUGGGGAUUAAUG